This 440-nucleotide ribosomal RNA is filed under the name uncultured bacterium. Its description in RNAcentral is "partial 16S ribosomal RNA". It matches the Rfam family "Bacterial small subunit ribosomal RNA", at positions 338 to 795 of the family's 1533-position model. The record is from RNAcentral.
CCUACGGGCGGCAGCAGUGAGGGAUAUUGGUCCAUGGGGGAAACCCUGAACCAGCAACGCCGCGUGAGGGAUGACGGUUUUCGGAUUGUAAACCUCUGUCCUCAGUGACGAUAAUGACGGUAGCAGAGGAGUAAGCUCCGGCUAACUACGUGCCAGCAGCCGCGGUAAUACGUAGGGAGCAAGCGUUGUCCGGAUUUACUGGGUGUAAAGAGGGCGUAGGCGGACUUGCAAGUCAGACGUGAAAUCCAUGGGCUUAACCAUUGAACUGCAUUUGAAACUGUAGGGCUUGAGUGAGGUAGAGGCAGGCGGAAUUCCCGGUGUAGCGGUGAAAUGCGUAGAGAUCGGGAGGAACACCCGUGGCGAAGGCGGCCUGCUGGGAUUUAACUGACGCUGAAGCACGAAAGCGUGGGUAGCAAACAGGAUUAGAUACCCGGGUAGUC